GAUCAUGGCUCAGGAUGAACGCUAGCUACAGGCUUAACACAUGCAAGUCGAGGGGCAGCAUGAUUGAAGCUUGCUUCAAUUGAUGGCGACCGGCGCACGGGUGAGUAACACGUAUCCAACCCGCCGAUAACUCGGCGAUAGCCUUUCGAAAGAAAGAUUAAUACCCGAUAGUAUAGUAUUUCCGCAUGGUUUCACUAUUAAAGAAUUUCGGUUAUCGAUGGGGAUGCGUUCCAUUAGA
Molecule: ribosomal RNA, 238 nt
Filed under: uncultured bacterium
Lineage: Bacteria
Description: partial 16S ribosomal RNA
Rfam family: Bacterial small subunit ribosomal RNA
Source: RNAcentral